CAUAUCUCCUUUAUUAUAAGGUCAAAUAGAGUGAUUCAAAAGCCUAACUUGACUGGAAUUUCACAAGAAAUCUAUUAGAGGCAUCAAAAGUAAGUUUCAGGAUCGUUUGGCAUGAGAAAUGAGGCAGAACAUUUGGGCGGAAGCAUAUAAAUCAAGGGUUUGUUCAUUUGGUCAUAUUUUGAGUUGGGGAGCUCGGAUUUGGACGGUUUUUGAAGUAAUUUUAACCACAUAGAUUGAGUUUCGAGCCGUUCAGAGGGAAGUACGCGUGAGAUGGCAUAUCUGGAGCAUCGUCUGGCUUGCUCGGUGUUGGAUUUGGCUUGUUCGAGAUUUUGGAUGUUGAUAUUGCUGUGUAUAAAGGAAGCUAGC
This is a long non-coding RNA of Nicotiana tabacum (common tobacco), 366 nucleotides long. RefSeq lists it as uncharacterized. NCBI's taxonomy places the organism in Eukaryota, Viridiplantae, Streptophyta, Magnoliopsida, Solanales, Solanaceae. The record is from RefSeq and is a predicted model, not a curated record.